RNAcentral lists this ribosomal RNA (449 nucleotides) under uncultured bacterium. Its description in RNAcentral is "bacterial SSU rRNA". It matches the Rfam family "Bacterial small subunit ribosomal RNA", at positions 330 to 795 of the family's 1533-position model. The record is from RNAcentral.
UCCAGACUCCUACGGGAGGCAGCAGUGGGGAAUAUUGCACAAUGGGGGAAACCCUGAUGCAGCGACGCCGCGUGAGUGAAGAAGUAUUUCGGUAUGUAAAGCUCUAUCAGCAGGAACGAGACAAGACGGUACCUGACUAAGAAGCCCCGGCUAACUACGUGCCGGCAGCCGCGGUAAUACGUAGGGGGCAAGCGUUAUCCGGAUUUACUGGGUGUAAAGGGAGCGUAGGCGGGAAAGCAAGUCAGAUGUGAAAACCAUGGGCUCAACCUGUGGCCUGCAUUUGAAACUGUUUUUCUUGAGUACUGGAGAGGCAGACGGAAUUCCUAGUGUAGCGGUGAAAUGCGUAGAUAUUAGGAGGAACACCAGUGGCGAAGGCGGUCUGCUGGACAGCAACUGACGCUGAGGCGCGAAAGCGUGGGGAGCAAACAGGAUUAGAUACCCUAGUAACU